GACGAACGCUGGCGGCGUGCCUAAUACAUGCAAGUCGAGCGAAUCAAUGGGAGCUUGCUCCCUGAGAUUAGCGGCGGACGGGUGAGUAACACGUGGGUAACCUGCCUGUAAGACUGGGAUAACUUCGGGAAACCGGAGCUAAUACCGGAUACGUUCUUUUCUCGCAUGAGAAGAGAAGGAAAGAUGGUUCUGCUAUCACUUACAGAUGGACCCGCGGCGCAUUAGCUAGUUGGGGAGGUAACGGCUCACCAAGGCGACGAUGCGUAGCCGACCUGAGAGGGUGAUCAGCCACACUGGGACUGAGAGACGGCCCAGACUCCUACGGGAGGCAGCAGUAGGGAAUCUUCCGCAAUGGACGAAAGUCUGACGGGGCAACGCCGCGUGAGCGAAGAAGGCCUUCGGGUCGUAAAGCUCUGUUGUUAGGGAAGAACAAGUACGAGAGUAACUGCUCGUACCUUGACGGUACCUAACCAGAAAGCCACGGCUAACUACGUGCCAGCCGCCGCAGUAA
Molecule: ribosomal RNA, 511 nt
Filed under: uncultured bacterium
Lineage: Bacteria
Description: partial 16S ribosomal RNA
Rfam family: Bacterial small subunit ribosomal RNA
Source: RNAcentral